This 490-nucleotide ribosomal RNA is filed under the name uncultured bacterium. RNAcentral describes it as "partial 16S ribosomal RNA". It matches the Rfam family "Bacterial small subunit ribosomal RNA", at positions 28 to 507 of the family's 1533-position model. The record is from RNAcentral.
GAUGAACGCUAGCGGUAGGCUUAACACAUGCAAGUCGAGCGGCAGCAUCGUCUUAGCUUGCUAAGACUGAUGGCGACCGGCGGACGGGUGCGUAACGCGUAUGCAACUUGCCUCACAGAGGGGGUAAACCCGGCGAAAGACGGCCUAAUACCGAUUACACGCUAUUUUGUGCAUCCGAGGUAGAGUAAAUGAAAUUCGCUGUAAGAUAGGCAUGCGUCCCAUUAGCUUGUUGGUGAUGUAACGGCUCACAAAGGCGACGAUGAGUAGGGGAGCGGAGAGGUUGAUACCCGGCACUGGUACUGCGACACGGACCAGAGUCCUACGGGACGGAGCAGAGUGUUACAUUAGGCAGUGGGGGAGAAUAUGAACCAGCCAAGUCGAGUGAGAGAUGACUGUGUUAGGGAUGGGAUACUGCUUUUAGAGGUGAAUAGCGAGGUGAACCGGGGCGCUAGUGACUGUACCCGAAGAAUAAGCACCGGCUAACUCCGUG